GACGAACGCUGGCGGCGUGCUUAACACAUGCAAGUCGAACGGAAAGGCCCUGCUUUUGUGGGGUGCUCGAGUGGCGAACGGGUGAGUAACACGUGAGUAACCUGCCCUUGACUUUGGGAUAACUUCAGGAAACUGGGGCUAAUACCGGAUAGGAGCUCCUGCUGCAUGGUGGGGGUUGGAAAGUUUCGGCGGUUGGGGAUGGACUCGCGGCUUAUCAGCUUGUUGGUGGGGUAGUGGCUUACCAAGGCUUUGACGGGUAGCCGGCCUGAGAGGGGGACCGGCCACAUUGGGACUGAGAUACGGCGCAGACGCCUACGGGAGGCAGCAGGGGGGAAUAUUGCACAAUGGGCGGAAGCCUGAGGCAGCAACGCCGCGUGCGGGAUGACGGCCUUCGGGUUGUAAACCGCUUUCGCCUGUGACGAAGCGUGAGUGACAGUAAUGGGUAAAGAAGCACCGGCUAACUACGUG
This 468-nucleotide ribosomal RNA is filed under the name uncultured bacterium. RNAcentral describes it as "partial 16S ribosomal RNA". It matches the Rfam family "Bacterial small subunit ribosomal RNA", at positions 28 to 507 of the family's 1533-position model. The record is from RNAcentral.